ACAGUGGACGCGAGCAUCUGUGGCCAAGUUUUUAAGGGCGCACGGUGGAUGCCUUGGCACCAGGAACCGAUGAAGGACGUGGGAGGCCACGAUAGUCCCCGGGGAGCUGUCAACCAAGCUUUGAUCCGGGGGUUUCCGAAUGGGGAAACCCGGCAGUCGUCAUGGGCUGUCACCCGCUGCUGAACACAUAGGCAGUGUGGAGGGAACGAGGGGAAGUGAAACAUCUCAGUACCCUCAGGAAGAGAAAACAACCGUGAUUCCGGGAGUAGUGGCGAGCAAACUGGAUGAGGCCAAACCGUAUGCGUGUGAUACCCGGCAGGGGUUGCGCAUGCGGGGUUGUGGGAUCUCUCUUUCACAGUCUGCCGGCUGUGAGACGAGUCAGAAACCGUUGAUGUAGGCGAAGGACAUGCGAAAGGUCCGGCGUAGAGGGUAAGACCCCCGUAGCUGAAACAUCAGCGGCUUGUUUGAGAGACACCCAAGUAGCACGGGGCCCGAAGAAAUCCCGUGUGAAUCUGGCGGGACCACCCGCUAAGCCUAAAUAUUCCCUGGUGACCGAUAGCGGAUAGUACCGUGAGGGAAUGGUGAAAAGUACCGCGGGAGCGGAGUGAAAUAGUACCUGAAACCGUGUGCCUACAAGCCGUGGGAGCGUCGCGCAAUCGAGCUUGCUCGGUGCGUCGUGACUGCGUGCCUUUUGAAGAAUGAGCCUGCGAGUUAGCGGUGUGUAGCGAGGUUAACCCGUGUGGGGAAGCCGUAGCGAAAGCGAGUCCGAACAGGGCGUUUGAGUUGCACGCUCUAGACCCGAAGCGGAGUGAUCUAGCCAUGGGCAGGUUGAAGCGGAGGUAAGACUUCGUGGAGGACCGAACCCACCAGGGUUGAAAACCUGGGGGAUGACCUGUGGUUAGGGGUGAAAGGCCAAUCAAACUCCGUGAUAGCUGGUUCUCCCCGAAAUGCAUUUAGGUGCAGCGUCGUGUGUUUCUUGCCGGAGGUAGAGCACUGGAUAGGCGAUGGGCCCUACCGGGUUACUGACCUUAGCCAAACUCCGAAUGCCGGUAAGUGAGAGCGCGGCAGUGAGACUGUGGGGAUAAGCUCCAUGGUCGAGAGGGAAACAGCCCAGAGCAUCGACUAAGGCCCCUAAGCGUACGCUAAGUGGGAAAGGAUGUGGAGUCGCAGAGACAACCAGGAGGUUGGCUUAGAAGCAGCCACCCUUGAAAGAGUGCGUAAUAGCUCACUGGUCAAGUGAUUCCGCGCCGACAAUGUAGCGGGGCUCAAGCGUACCGCCGAAGUCGUGUCAUUCAUACACAUAUCCUCAACGGGAGUAUGGAUGGGUAGGGGAGCGUCGUGUGCCGGGUGAAGCAGCCGCGGAAGCGAGUUGUGGACGGUUCACGAGUGAGAAUGCAGGCAUGAGUAGCGAUACACACGUGAGAAACGUGUGCGCCGAUUGACUAAGGGUUCCUGGGUCAAGCUGAUCUGCCCAGGGUAAGUCGGGACCUAAGGCGAGGCCGACAGGCGUAGUCGAUGGACAACCGGUUGAUAUUCCGGUACCCGCUUUGAAACGCCCAGUACUGAAUCAGGCGAUGCUAAGUCCGUGAAGCCGGCCCGAUCUCUUCGGAGUUGAGGGUAGUGGUGGAGCCGAUGAACCAGACUUGUAGUAGGUAAGCGAUGGGGUGACGCAGGAAGGUAGUCCAGCCCGGGCGGUGGUUGUCCCGGGGUAAGGGUGUAGGACGUUGUGUAGGCAAAUCCGCACAACAUGUGUCUGAGACCUGAUGCCGAGCCGAUUGUGGUGAAGUGGAUGAUCCUAUGCUGUCGAGAAAAGCCUCUAGCGAGUUUCAUGGCGGCCCGUACCCUAAACCGACUCAGGUGGUCAGGUAGAGAAUACCGAGGCGUUCGGGUGAACUAUGGUUAAGGAACUCGGCAAAAUGCCCCCGUAACUUCGGGAGAAGGGGGGCCAUCACUGGUGAUCCGAUUUACUCGGUGAGCUGGGGGUGGCCGCAGAGACCAGCGAGAAGCGACUGUUUACUAAAAACACAGGUCCGUGCGAAGCCGUAAGGCGAUGUAUACGGACUGACGCCUGCCCGGUGCUGGAACGUUAAGGGGACCGGUUAGCUGCCUUUCGGGGUGGCGAAGCUGAGAACUUAAGCGCCAGUAAACGGCGGUGGUAACUAUAACCAUCCUAAGGUAGCGAAAUUCCUUGUCGGGUAAGUUCCGACCUGCACGAAUGGCGUAACGACUUCUCGACUGUCUCAACCAUAGGCCCGGUGAAAUUGCACUACGAGUAAAGAUGCUCGUUUCGCGCAGCAGGACGGAAAGACCCCGGGACCUUUACUAUAGUUUGAUAUUGGUGUUCGGUUCGGCUUGUGUA
This 2359-nucleotide ribosomal RNA is filed under the name Streptomyces sp. CS149. RNAcentral describes it as "bacterial LSU rRNA". It matches the Rfam family "Bacterial large subunit ribosomal RNA", at positions 1 to 2140 of the family's 2925-position model. Lineage: Bacteria; Bacillati; Actinomycetota; Actinomycetes; Kitasatosporales; Streptomycetaceae. The record is from RNAcentral.